Molecule: unclassified non-coding RNA, 974 nt
Filed under: Harpegnathos saltator (Jerdon's jumping ant)
Lineage: Eukaryota; Metazoa; Arthropoda; Insecta; Hymenoptera; Formicidae
Description: uncharacterized LOC105185818, transcript variant X2
Source: RNAcentral
UCACCGUCGGCACACACACGCACCACCACACGCAUCAUAAGAGCAUGCACUGCAUCGAGGUCGUCGGCAGCGGCAACACCAUCGCCACACACAACACCGCCACCACGUGCACAGCCGACGGCCGUCGUGCUGCUGUCGUCGUCGUCGGAGGAGGAUGCACCGAACCACUACACAUACGAGCGCGUACACCAACCACAUACGCGAAGGCCGUCGCGGCGACACCGCGGGCGCGGAUAAUGUCGACGAGGACAUCUUCGUCGGCGGAAGCCCGCGGUGCACAUGCGACGACCAUUUUGGAGCAGCUGGUGCGGCCGGCCAUGACAUAUGCGAACGCUAGACGCGAAGUCACUAGCGCGGCCGAAGCCUCGCCGCCAUUGGCCGCCGCGUUUGAGGAUGAGGGCGCCACCUCCCGGAUCGCCCUGUGCAAAGCGUACGCCAGAAAGAGAUAAAUAGAGCUCUCUCUCUUCUUUUACACCUUCCUUGGUCGUGCAUGAUACUCCAUUUUUGCCUUCAUUGACACCAAAGAUUCUGACAAGGAAUUGCGCUACUGUAUAUACUGUACUCUUACUUCAUAGUCUAAACUUUCCAAUAAUAUAUAGCCAUUCGCGAUUAUCACUUCGUGCACUUCCCUCAUCAGAUUUCUCUCUAAUAGCACUUCGUGUGUACAUGAUGGUACGCGGAUUAGCUUAAACCGGCCCAUGAUAUCUUUCUCUCUAUUGGAAACAGCAAGUAUCAUUUUUUGGCGAGAUGCAAAUCGACCUUGUUGCGAUCAAACUAGUCCUCUGGUUUGAUUUUUCGCGAUAAUUACGUUAUUCAGUUUUAUAAAAGAACACUGGUUAAUUCAAAAUAUAUAGACUAUGGAGUCUGCAAUUGGGCAUCUCGAACAAAGCGUUCAGAAAGCUGACGGAAAAUUAGAUAUGAUUGCCUGGCAAAUUGACGCUUUUGAGAAAGCUUUCGAGGACCCAGAAAACGAG